Molecule: small RNA, 27 nt
Filed under: Bombyx mori (domestic silkworm)
Lineage: Eukaryota; Metazoa; Arthropoda; Insecta; Lepidoptera; Bombycidae
Description: ovarian small RNA-26937
Source: RNAcentral
UCCAUCAAAAGGCAGGCCAAAAGUGAC